Molecule: non-coding RNA, 5879 nt
Organism: Callithrix jacchus (white-tufted-ear marmoset)
Lineage: Eukaryota; Metazoa; Chordata; Mammalia; Primates; Cebidae
Source: RefSeq, a predicted model, not a curated record
GUUAGCCACCACCACCACCACCAUCAUCAUCAUCACUAUCAUCAUCAUCAUCAAAAUGGAAAUGCUUUUCCCAGCCCUCAUUUUUUCCUUGAUAAGCAAAGCUUCAUAUCCAUGUUAAGGUGCUAUGAGAGUCUCCCCAUCACUUUAAGACAUUAACCCCAAGUUUGCUUAGAAUUGCUUGAUGUAGAGCAGCCUGGUAACUUUUUUACUUUUGGUAAAACAUCUUUCUGAAACAGGCAAAAUAACGAUGGUCAGGAGUGGGGCUUUGAAGUAAGAUGGAUAGAAAAAGGAAACUUGGUUUUGCCACUUUUGAGCUUUCUAACCUGGGGUCAGUUAUUUCACCUUCCUGAGCCUCAAUUUCCCCAUCUGUAACGAAACUGGCUUCUUACAGUUUUUGUGAGGACUAAAUGAUAUAAUGAAUGUAGAUAAGCAUAGUUAAAAAUUCAAUGAGUCUUUUAUCAUCAUCAUCCUUAUCAUCUCAAAGAACUACUUGUUCCUUCAAGGAAUUUUGAAAUAACCUAGCUCUACCCCCUCAACAAAACCACACUGCAUUGCCAAAUAAAUCAGAAUUAACCUUUGGAGCUUCAGGAGUUUUGGGGGUGAGGACAGAGGGAGGGAGUAGUUAAUACCUUUUACUAUUAAAAUGCAGCAUAUGUAUAUUGUGAAAGUUUAGAAAAUAUAGCUAAGCAAAAAAAAAAAAAGAGAGAUGUUGUAUUCCCAGCACUUGCAGAUUAUUAUCUGUGGGUUUAUCUUUUUGGAUCUUUUUCUAUGUAAUUAUAUAUAUUAUGUAGUUUUUUUCUAAAAUGAGUAAGCAAAAAAUUUGCUUUUUACAGUUAAUAAUCACUACUUCCUGUGUCAGUAAAUGUUCCUCUAAUACACUGUAUUCAAAAUUCCCCAUUUGUCCCCAAAAUAUUCUUUACAGCUGGUUUGUACAAACCAGGAUUUGAUGCAGGGCAUGGCUGUGAUGCCCCCUAAAUUUAUUUUGAACCAGCACUGGCCCUUUUUUCAUGAUCUUAACUUGUUAUAGGGACUGCCGUGCCAAUUGUUCUGCAGACUGGAGGAGUUUAUUACUAUCUAAACAUAGAACUGAUUUGCUGAGAAAAAAAAAAAAAUCAAGCUGAAUUCAACCAAGUAGUUCUUUUAAACAUAAUUAGUAACUUAGCAGAAUUCAACCAGGGUUUUUUUAAGCUGUUCUCUGUAUGUAAGGAAAACUUCUGAAGCUAGUUACAAAAAAAAAAAAAAAAAAAGGACAGGAGGCGGGGCUAAACCAUAAGAAACUCACAGAGGCCAGGGUGCAAGGUGCCAUUGUGAAGAGGUUCAGAGAUUUUAUCUACUGGAAUAAGGCACAGCUAUCUGAGCUGGGUGGGUAAAUCAGAGGAUCACAGUCCAGCAUUUCUUGUGUCUCUGUAACUGCUUUGAAGUCAGACUGGUGAAUUUGACACACACAUAUCCAUACUAUUGGGAAGGUUCCUCUGUUAAUUCGACUGGGAUUUUCCCUGAGGUUAUCAAUCUGAAAUUAAGCCCUUCAAAUCAGUCUGAAGCUGAGCUUUUCCAUACUCUUUAGAUCAAAUUUUAAUUGAACUGUGACCUCAUCUCUACCGUCCUCAAUUAUGAAGCUAAAGAGCAUGUCUGCCAGGCUACUAGGACAUCCCUUAGAAUCUGUGAGAUGACGUAUAUUGAAACUGGAAAGCUAAUCCAAAUGAACUGGGAAAGGCAUGUAGAGGAAGAAGAGACAGUUGAUUCUUUCACCUAUUUUUGAGCCCCAAAGUAAAUUCUGGCAGUUAAGUCAUGGCCUAGGCCAUGCAUUACAGCUGUAGAGUGUCAUUUCCCAAAAGGAAUACAGCAACUGGAGACAAGUUGUGGGGGAAAUGAGAAGCCCAUCACUCUCUCACCUUGAUUGGUAACAUGACCUACUGAAUAUUGUUACAUAAUGGGUAUCUAUAUAUAUGAUAUAUAUUUUAAAAUAGGGUAUAUGUGCAUGUGUUUGUAUGUAUAUAAGAUAUAUACCUUAUUAGGGAGUUAAGUUUCCUUGGCUGAGGAAAACCAUGUAUUCGGUCCCAAUCUAAGCUCUGCUUGGGUUCUUGGAAGUGAACCUCAGGAUACUUCCAAGCUAAAAUUAUAAAACAAUCCAAGUUCUUCUUCAUGACUUAGACCCUCCAGUGCCAUUCAAAUUCCCAGUGUCUUCAUGCGUUCUCUACCUCCCACCAUCCAAAUCUGCUUUUAACAGAUUUGAUCAUUCCUCUUCUAUUAGGAUGAGGAGGAGAUGAACAGAGUGUUUUGAUGCUUCUGAUGCCCCGUUGCAGUGAAUAUUAUUCAAAUGUCAAUCCCCUCUUACCCCAACAACUUCACAAUAACAAAUAAAUGAUAACAAUUAAUUCCUUUACUUUUGGAGUCUUAGGUAUAGAAACACAUUUCUAUUCCACGUAAACUUGGGAAUGCUUCACUCCCUGCCUGGGUAAUUUGAGCUUUCAGCAAUCCUGCAUACAAAAUAUAAGGGGCAUUAAUAGAUUUGGAUUAAUCAUGUUAAAUGGGUUAUUACUAUCCAAAAGAAACUGAGGGGUUUUCUAAUCGAGCUAUUUCCUUCCAAAGCCAUUCAUAGAAAUAGAUCUUUUACUUUCGGGCAAACCUUACAUAAAGCCAGUUUUGAAUUUUCUCUGGAGCUUAUAGGCAAUGAAGAAUUUUGCUAAGUGUCUUUAGCAGAACAGCUUUCUGUGUUCCAGAAGACAUUUGGUGAAGACAGUUAAUUUGUUUUCCUUUCCAGAGGAGAAUGUUCCAUUAAUCAUUCUAAGAAGCCAAGCUGAUUGCUCUGUUACGUUAAGGUCACAGUAUUCUUGUUAACAUGACCCACACGAUAUUUCUGUGUCUUAGAACAGGUUUUUUUUUUUUCUUAUGGCAGACUUAUGGCAUGGAAGCAGUAAGCAACAGACUCAAACACACUACACAUGUGCAAGUACACAUGUGCACACACACACGCACACACACAGACACACAGAAUAGCCAAAGCACAUUUUGUGGAUCAAAUAUUAUCACAUUGCAUUGCAGGAGAUGAGCUAUGCUAAAUCCUCAAAUACUUCUCAUUUAUUAACCAAAUAACUAUUUCUCUCACUGCUGGGCUCCAGAUAGGCUAUCACAAGAUUUCACAACCAAUACCUAGUGAUAUAGUUACUGCUCUAAUUAUUUUAAUGAAUGAAUUUAAAUUAUCAUGCAUAGGUUCUCGUUAUUCAAAGUGUGAUCCAUAGGCCCUCAGCUUCAGCAUCACCUGGAAGUUUGAAAGAAACAUAUAGUCUCAGCCCUAACCCCAGCCUGAAUGAAUCAGAAUCUGCAUUUUAACAAGAGCCUCUUUGAUUCAAAUGCACAUAAAAGUUUGACAAAUACUGGGCAAGAUCAAUUACUUCAAACUUAUUUGCCCCAACUCACAAUAAGAAACAAAUUUUAUAUUGCAACCCAGUGUGCAUGUUCGCACACAUGAAACAAAAGUUUAUAAAACAGUAUUUACUCUUACUAUGUGAUGCAAUCUGACAUUUCCUGUUUUUCUUUAAAAACUUUCAGUGGUAACAGAUUAAAUGAUUCUACUACACACAAAUAAGUUUACAGUCCUCAGUUUUAAAAACACAUCUAAAGCAAAGUUUCUCAUCCUUGGCACCAUUGACAUUUUGAGCCAGAUAAUUGUUGUAGAAUGCUAGUCUGUGUAUUAAAGGAUGUUGAGCAGCAUCCCUGGUUUCUCCUCCAGAUACCGGUAGCAGCCACUGUCCUUUUUAAAAUGAAGAAAAUGUCUCCAGAUAUGGCCAAAAUUCCCCCAAGGGGCAAAAUCAUCCCCAUUUGAGAACCACUGAUCUGGAUGAACUAGAAAAGAGGUUACCACUAAAUGUGUACAGGCAGACCUUCCUCUCUGAAUAUAAUACAGCCAUCUGCCACCCCCAUCAUCAUAUAAAAAUGUGAUGAGUAUGAUGUAGUAAUAACAACAAAGUUGAGCUUAGUAAUUAUUAAAAUGAUGACUCAAGAAGUCCAUGUGUCCAUCUGGAAGUUAGCUUUGGAGCCUGUGCCCGUCUCUGAAGGAGAUUGUUUGGGGGACUUCAUGCAAUUAUGGGAAAAACUUGUGAGACAUCCAGGACACUCUUCUGUCCGCACUGUACCCAGAAGAGUCCCACUUGGAGCCAAAGGAAGGAACUGGAACAGCACGUUAGAUCAGCAAUACAGCUUCCCGCUUUGGCCUCCCUUGAUUACUUCUCUUUCCUUUCCUUUUUAUAAUUCCACCCGGACCUUGAUUUAAAAAAAAAAAAAAGUCUUGCUUCCACCAGGUGGCUGCAAGUUAUUUUUAUGUGUCCAAAAACCUGAAAAGAAGGCUCAACUUAAAUACUUCAUUCAUUCCAAAUUCCCAAUUCAGAAGAGAACAGUUAACAGCCUCCUGUUCUUCUGUUAAACUCCUGCUGAGUUGACUAAAAAUCCAGUUAAUAGAGUCUAGUGAUUUGCCUCCAGUGUGAAUAUUCCUGUAUCAAAAGGCUUACAACGAUAGUGUCACUUGCCAUAUUGGGUUGCCUUGACUGCCUUUGGCAGAAUUUUUCAUUCUGACCAUCCCUGGACUAAAGCCAGUUAUACCAACAAAGCUCCAGGUCUUGCCCAGGAUGGGAGUAUUAUUAAUUACCAGAUCUGUAUGCCAACCAAGGUAUAAAGCCCCUCUCAUUAUUUGUGUGGAAAAAAAGAUUUUUUUAGAAAAGAACAAAUAAUAUGUAAAGUAAGCAAAGUUAAAUGCAUGAGUUGCUUUCUAGUGAAGUUCUUUAAAAUCAUCUUUUAAGGAAGAGAAAUAUCACUUCCUUUUGUUCAGAAAAUUCAUUCUUUGGCCUAGGAAAUCAUCCUGUUAAAGAGAAAAGACUCAGUUAUUAGGUGCUUCAUUAGUUUGGGGAACUCUGAGUCAGUGCUUCUCUCGGUGGUGAUUUUUGUCCCACAGAGGACUUUUGGCCAUGUCUGGAGACAUUCUUGGUCGUGACAACUUGGGGGUUGGGGGCAUGUUACUGGCAGAAGCCAGGGAUGCUGCUGAACCUCCGGUAGUGCACAGGACAGCCCCCACAGCAAAGAAUGAUCCAGCUCAAAAUGUCAGUAGUGUAGAGAGAUUGAAAAACCAUGCUCUAUGAUACUUCCACCUACACAAAUCAUUUGUCUUCCAUGAAUAGAUUAUUUGCGUUUUUGUGGGGAUUUUUGUUUAUUUUUUGUUUUGUUUUUUUUUGAGACAGAGUCUUGCACUGUCACCCAGGCUGGAGUGCAAUGGAGAAAUUUUGGCUCACUGUGACCUCCACCUCCCAAGAUCAAGCAAUUCUCCUGCCUCAGCCUCCUGAGUAGCUGGAAUUACAAGUGCCCACCACUGUGCCUAGCUAAUUUUUUGUAUUUUUAGUAGAGACAGAGUUUCACCAUAUUGGCCAGGCUGGUCUUGAACUCCUGACCUUGUGAUCUGCCCACCUCAGCCUCCCAAAGUGCUGGGAUUACAGUAGUGAGCCACUGCACCUGGCAAUUAUGGGAGUUUAAAUCAUGAGCAUGAUCUGUGGGUCAUCAUAUAAUCAAGGGACUCCAGUGAUUGUCUCUAAAGGAUAUUCUACCUGGUAGAUAUCUCAGAAAUGAGUCUCCCUUUUGGUAAGCUUCAUCCAAAAACAUUUUUUAGGAGCUUAGAGAAUAAAAAUCAAGCAGUCACUAACACCUAGGUUUGUCAGCUUGAACUUAACACUCACCUGUGUAUAAUUCCCAUGAAGCACCUGUGCUUCAACAAAAAGUCAGAUCUUGUCAGUUCAAUGAGUCACUAUGGCUUCCUUCUACUGAAAGGUGCCCUGUCAACUUUUCAAGGGACUGGUUCCUUUAUAUCAAGCAGAUGUUAGGAGUAUAGGCUUUGCAGU